This 85-nucleotide transfer RNA is filed under the name Tupanvirus deep ocean. RNAcentral's name for it is "tRNA-Ser". It matches the Rfam family "tRNA". Rfam says of the family: Transfer RNA (tRNA) molecules are approximately 80 nucleotides in length. Their secondary structure includes four short double-helical elements and three loops (D, anti-codon, and T loops). Lineage: Varidnaviria; Bamfordvirae; Nucleocytoviricota; Megaviricetes; Imitervirales; Mimiviridae. The record is from RNAcentral. RNAcentral also lists the same sequence under 1 other name.
GGAACCAUGACUGAAUGGUAAGGUAUCUGUCUACUAAACAGAAGUCGUCCUCUGGGCGCGUAGGUUCGAUUCCUACUGGUUCCGC